This 743-nucleotide ribosomal RNA is filed under the name uncultured bacterium. Its description in RNAcentral is "bacterial SSU rRNA". It matches the Rfam family "Bacterial small subunit ribosomal RNA", at positions 78 to 817 of the family's 1533-position model. The record is from RNAcentral.
UGCUGUUUCGCUGACGAGUGGCGGACGGGUGAGUAAUGUCUGGGAAACUGCCUGAUGGAGGGGGAUAACUACUGGAAACGGUAGCUAAUACCGCAUAAUGUCGCAAGACCAAAGAGGGGGACCUUCGGGCCUCUUGCCAUCGGAUGUGCCCAGAUGGGAUUAGCUAGUAGGUGGGGUAACGGCUCACCUAGGCGACGAUCCCUAGCUGGUCUGAGAGGAUGACCAGCCACACUGGAACUGAGACACGGUCCAGACUCCUACGGGAGGCAGCAGUGGGGAAUAUUGCACAAUGGGCGCAAGCCUGAUGCAGCCAUGCCGCGUGUAUGAAGAAGGCCUUCGGGUUGUAAAGUACUUUCAGCGGGGAGGAAGGGAGUAAAGUUAAUACCUUUGCUCAUUGACGUUACCCGCAGAAUAAGCACCGGCUAACUACGUGCCAGCAGCCGCGGUAAUACGUAGGGUGCGAGCGUUAAUCGGAAUUACUGGGCGUAAAGGGUGCGCAGGCGGUUGAGUAAGACAGAUGUGAAAUCCCCGAGCUUAACCCGGGAAUGGCAUAUGUGACUGCUCGACUAGAGUGUGUCAGAGGGAGGUGGAAUUCCACGUGUAGCAGUGAAAUGCGUAGAUAUGUGGAAGAACACCGAUGGCGAAGGCAGCCUCCUGGGACAUAACUGACGCUCAGGCACGAAAGCGUGAGGAGCAAACAGGAUUAGAUACCCUGGUAGUCCACGCCCUAGACGAUGUUAACU